CGGGGCGUAGUGUAACGGUAGCAUUCAUGCUUUGGGAGCAUGCGGUCCGAGUUCAAAUCUCGGCGCCCCGA
RNAcentral lists this transfer RNA (71 nucleotides) under Candidatus Tayloriibacteriota bacterium. Its description in RNAcentral is "tRNA-Pro". It matches the Rfam family "tRNA". From Rfam's summary of the family: Transfer RNA (tRNA) molecules are approximately 80 nucleotides in length. The record is from RNAcentral. Lineage: Bacteria; Candidatus Tayloriibacteriota.